GAGUAGCAAAAAUGCCAGAGAACAGUUUACAGGGCUUACCUUUACCUUCUUACAAUAUUAGAAUUCUCGUGUCUUCAUGAUUUGCAGGGACCAAGGAAAACAGCACAGCGCUGGCUUUAACAAUACUUCGCUGGUUGAACACGAAGAAUACCCGGUUCAACCAGACUAGAGGGGGGAGUGGUUGAUGAGGAGUGAUAUGUGCAGAGUAGGGAAAUGAUGCAAAUCAGAGGAAUCGGCCCCACCAGCAGAACGAGUAUGGCAGAAGAAGCGCACGCGUCAGAGGAAUCAUCCUCACCAGAGGAGUCAUACUUGCCAGAGGGACCAUUCUCACCAGAGGGAUCUCAUGCACCAUAGGCAUCUCACCUACCAGAGGAAUGGCUCUUGCCAGAGGAAUCAUGUUCGCCAGAGGAGUCACCAUCG
Molecule: long non-coding RNA, 420 nt
Filed under: Salvia miltiorrhiza (redroot sage)
Lineage: Eukaryota; Viridiplantae; Streptophyta; Magnoliopsida; Lamiales; Lamiaceae
Description: long non-coding RNA (SMIL_LNC011493)
Source: RNAcentral